AGUAUGAAGUCGUCGGUAAGGAAUUAAGUGCAGCGGCACAAAAUCGUGCUAAAAACUUACUGUCACAGUACGUACCGAAUCGUACCGAUAUGUGCCGUCACAAAAAAUAUACGUGUACCAAUACGUAAUAGGAUGAAAUAUUUAUUUUUUUUAGCAAUAAAUUAUGCCAAUUAUUUAUUAUGUAUUUUUAGCAAAUUUUUUGAAUUUUAUGAAGAAAAUUACUUGCUAAUUUUAAAAAUAGAAGAUUUUGAAUUGCGCUAUCGGCACUUGAGCUGUAUCGUGUCGAUAUUUUGCUGGCACGAUACGACACAGUGGAUACGGCCCGUGUCGAUGGGCACUUUAAUUUUUGGUCGGCACUCAACUGAUCACUUGGAAGGAGAAGUCGGCAACGCGUGUUGGCAUACGCAACAUGGUGAGAGAGCAAGAUUUGGUCACGAUGAGUGAUAAUUAUCUCAUUUAUUAUUACUAAUAAUUGACCAAACAACUAUCUCAUUUAUUAUUACUAAUAAUUGACCAAACAACUAGGAACUGACAAAAUUCAUUAAAGUAAAUCAUACUCAAAUUCUAAUUUAUUAUAAUUUCUAGUUUAAGUUUUUGUAUUGAGUAAUUAAAUCUCACAGCCCAAUUUAGUUGGCUAAAUAUUGAUAAACUAUUGGGGUGUGUUUGGUUCGAACUCGGAAUCGAAAUCGGAAUCGGAAUCGGAAUGAGAAUAAGUUGGAAAGAGAAUCAGAAUGAUUCAUACCUCAUUUUGUUUAGUUUGCAACCUGAAUCGGAAUUGGAAUGAACCAUUUUCAUUGUCGGUGUUUGGUUCAGAUAGAUAUUAAAAAUAUAAUUAAAUUAAUAUGUCAAUUUUAUUUUUAUAAUAUAUUAGUUUAAAUUCAAACUGAAAAUUUAAAAAUUAAAAUUUAUAAAUAUAAUUUUUAAACUUAAAUUUAUAUUUUAAUUAAAAAUAAACUUAAAAAGUUAAAUUUAAUCCGAACAAAUUUAUUCCGUCCGGAUUUAAUUUCCAAUCCGGCUUCCUAGGCCGGAUUGAAAAAAAGAGAUAAUUGGGAGGAUUCCCAUUCAUCUAGGAAUCAGAAUCAGAAUGAAAAUCAUGCAUAUCAAGUACGGACAAAUGGAUUCGUCCAUUCCAAUUCUAAUUCUAGGGUAAAAAAUGGGUGAACCAAAUAUGCCCUUAUUAAUGUUAAAGUGAUGUGAAAGUGUUUCGAUUGAUGAUACGACAAUCAUUCAUACGUUAUAUUACUUCUACAUCAAUAACUUUAUCAAUAUUUAGUUAACUAAAUUAGAUUGCAUGACUUGAUUGAAAUAAUUCAGAAGAUUCGAGCCCAAAAUUUUAACAAAUUAAAAUUUAAGUACUAACGCGU
RNAcentral lists this long non-coding RNA (1364 nucleotides) under Ananas comosus (pineapple). RNAcentral's name for it is "long non-coding RNA (ACOM_LNC009707)". The record is from RNAcentral. Lineage: Eukaryota; Viridiplantae; Streptophyta; Magnoliopsida; Poales; Bromeliaceae.